GCCCGGAUGGCGGAAUUGGUAGACGCGUUGGUCUCAAACACCAAUGAUAGCAAUAUCGUGCCGGUUCGAUCCCGGCUCCGGGCA
This 84-nucleotide transfer RNA is filed under the name Porphyromonas crevioricanis. It matches the Rfam family "tRNA". From Rfam's summary of the family: Transfer RNA (tRNA) molecules are approximately 80 nucleotides in length. Their secondary structure includes four short double-helical elements and three loops (D, anti-codon, and T loops). RNAcentral also lists the same sequence under 2 other names. The record is from Rfam by way of RNAcentral. Lineage: Bacteria; Pseudomonadati; Bacteroidota; Bacteroidia; Bacteroidales; Porphyromonadaceae.